UCAUGGUCAUGGUCAUGGUCAUGGUCAUGGUCAUGGUCAUGGUCAUGGUCAUGGUCAUGGUCAUGGUCAUGGUCAUGGUCAUGGUCAUGGUCAUCA
This 96-nucleotide microRNA precursor is filed under the name Nitrosomonas cryotolerans. RNAcentral describes it as "microRNA mir-598". RNAcentral also lists the same sequence under 1 other name. Lineage: Bacteria; Pseudomonadati; Pseudomonadota; Betaproteobacteria; Nitrosomonadales; Nitrosomonadaceae. The record is from RNAcentral.